AGGAGUUUGGCCUCCCGCAAUCGCUUUACAGGAAGAGGUGUAAACCGGUGUAUGCUGCUUUGUCCAAAAGCCAGGGUAGUAAGUGAUACAUUUAAAAGGCGAAAGAUAUCCGUCAGGU
Molecule: non-coding RNA, 118 nt
Filed under: Porphyromonadaceae bacterium KH3CP3RA
Lineage: Bacteria; Pseudomonadati; Bacteroidota; Bacteroidia; Bacteroidales; Porphyromonadaceae
Source: RNAcentral